This 512-nucleotide ribosomal RNA is filed under the name uncultured bacterium. RNAcentral's name for it is "partial 16S ribosomal RNA". It matches the Rfam family "Bacterial small subunit ribosomal RNA", at positions 28 to 523 of the family's 1533-position model. The record is from RNAcentral.
GACGAACGCUGGUGGCGUGCCUAAUACAUGCAAGUCGAGCGGACCAAUAGAAGCUUGCUUCUGUUGGUUUGCGGCGGACGGGUGAGUAACACGUGGGCAACCUGCCUGUAAGACUGGGAUAACUUCGGGAAACCGGAGCUAAUACCGGAUAAUUCAUCCCCUCGCAUGAGGGGAUGCUGAAAGUCGGUUUACGCUGACACUUACAGAUGGGCCCGCGGCGCAUUAGCUAGUUGGUGAGGUGAUGGCUCACCAAGGCGACGAUGCGUAGCCGACCUGAGAGGGUGAUCGGCCACACUGGGACGGAGACACGGCCCAGACUCCUACGGGAGGCAGCAGUAGGGAAUCUUCCACAAUGGACGAAAGUCUGAUGGAGCAACGCCGCGUGAGCGAUGAAGGCCUUCGGGUCGUAAAGCUCUGUUGUUAGGGAAGAACAAGUAUCGGAGUAACUGCCGGUACCUUGACGGUACCUAACCAGAAAGCCACGGCUAACUACGUGCCAGCCGCCGCGGUAA